RNAcentral lists this ribosomal RNA (432 nucleotides) under uncultured bacterium. RNAcentral describes it as "partial 16S ribosomal RNA". It matches the Rfam family "Bacterial small subunit ribosomal RNA", at positions 29 to 506 of the family's 1533-position model. The record is from RNAcentral.
AACGAACGCUGGCGGCAUGCCUAACACAUGCAGGUCGAACGAGACCUUCGGGUCUAGUGGCGCACGGGUGCGUAACGCGUGGGAACCUGCCCUUAGGUUCGGAAUAACUCCCCGAAAGGGGUGCUAAUACCGGAUAAUGUCUUCGGACCAAAGAUUUAUCGCCUUUGGAUGGGCCCGCGUUGGAUUAGCUAGUUGGUAGGGUAAAAGCCUACCAAGGCGACGAUCCAUAGCUGGUCUGAGAGGAUGAUCAGCCACACUGGGACUGAGACACGGCCCAGACUCCUACGGGAGGCAGCAGUGGGGAAUAUUGGACAAUGGGCGAAAGCCUGAUCCAGCAAUGCCGCGUGAGUGAUGAAGGCCUUAGGGUUGUAAAGCUCUUUUACCCGGGAUGAUAAUGACAGUACCGGGAGAAUAAGCUCCGGCUAGCUCCGU